UACGUAGGGCGCAAGCGUUGUCCGGAAUUAUUGGGCGUAAAGAGCUCGUAGGCGGUUUGUCGCGUCUGCUGUGAAAGCCCGGGGCUCAACCCCGGGUCUGCAGUGGGUACGGGCAGACUAGAGUGCAGUAGGGGAGACUGGAAUUCCUGGUGUAGCGGUGAAAUGCGCAGAUAUCAGGAGGAACACCGAUGGCGAAGGCAGGUCUCUGGGCUGUUACUGACGCUGAGGAGCGAAAGCAUGGGGAGCGAACGAUGAUAGUACCGUACCGUAUC
This 272-nucleotide ribosomal RNA is filed under the name uncultured bacterium. Its description in RNAcentral is "partial 16S ribosomal RNA". It matches the Rfam family "Bacterial small subunit ribosomal RNA", at positions 524 to 806 of the family's 1533-position model. The record is from RNAcentral.